This 404-nucleotide ribosomal RNA is filed under the name uncultured bacterium. RNAcentral's name for it is "bacterial SSU rRNA". It matches the Rfam family "Bacterial small subunit ribosomal RNA", at positions 28 to 414 of the family's 1533-position model. The record is from RNAcentral.
GAUUAACGCUGGCGGCGUGGAUAAGACAUGCAAGUCGAACGGAAACUUCAGCUGUAGCAAUACAGUUGAAGUUUUAGUGGCGAACGGGUGCGUAACACGUGGGCAAUCUGCCGAGAAGUGGGGGAUAGCUCGCCGAAAGGCGAAUUAAUACCGCAUGUGAUCAGGAAAGACAUCUUUCCGACAUCAAAGCCGGGGCAACCUGGCGCUUCUUGAUGAGCCCGCGGCCUAUCAGCUAGUUGGUGAGGUAACGGCUCACCAAGGCUUUGACGGGUAGCUGGUCUGAGAGGACGACCAGUCACACUGGAACUGAGACACGGUCCAGACACCGUACGGGUGGCAGCAGUCGAGUAAUUUUUCNCAAGUGGGGCAACCCUGAAGGAGCGACGCCGCGUGGAGGAUGAAGG